CCUACGACACAUACACACAACACAAACGCACAUGCAGAAACAAACUCACACCAACUAGUGCUCGAGUACCCACCCGCGUUUACGUUUACGGAUAAACAGCCGGUGCUGGGUGUACAUGUACGCCGCUAGCUAGCGUAACGUCAGUUUGGAUAUAACCAUAACUUUUACACUCGACUCAGAUGGCAAACGGGUGUCUAAGAAAGAUCGCGACUAGAGACAUGUUAGUCGGAAUGGGGCAUGAGGACUAUCAUUGCAGUGUUUGCCACAAAUGGCUGGACCAGGAACCAAGGAUGUGUAGUGACAAACGCACUUGUUACUACUGCUACAUGGAGAUUCAGAUCAAAAGACCAGAAAAGUGCCCAGUCUGCGAAGAAACGUUUGAACCUGAUGAACACUUUGUCAAGGACAAACGAGCAGCAAAAGAUAUGAAAAGAUCCACAGCAAAGUGCUGCACCUGUGGGCGUGAGAUGGCCAUGUCAGCCUUGAGGGAACACCAGGAGGAAUGUGGUGGAGUGGAAAGCCUACCCCAACAGAUAGAUGAACGUGGCCCACCUGAGGAUCACUGCCCAACUCAGAUGCAUGUAGAUGAACAAGACCCACCUGAGGAUCCAGCCCAGAUGCAUGCAGAUGAACAUGACCCACCUGAGGAUCCAGCCCAGGAGGAAGGGAAGGGAAGCAAUGAACCCAUCAUCAGCUGCCUGUACAAGAUGUUUGGAUGUGAUUUUCAGCAGAACCUCAUAGACAAAUCAAAAGAACAAAAGGUCACACCUGUGUUUGGAUACAACUUCAGGCCCACCCACAGUAUUGAGUACAAACUUUCCUUGCAAGGAACACAACAUUUGUAACUUGGUAACUGGUGGUAUGGUGAGCCUAAGGGUGUGACGUUUAUAGGUUUAAACGAAAAUAAAAGGGCACUGAAAUUGAAGUAGCUUAUCAUGAGGGGAUUGUUCCCCGACCAGAUAAGUGCUUU
RNAcentral lists this unclassified non-coding RNA (970 nucleotides) under Acanthaster planci (crown-of-thorns starfish). RNAcentral's name for it is "uncharacterized LOC110975139, transcript variant X15". The record is from RNAcentral. Lineage: Eukaryota; Metazoa; Echinodermata; Asteroidea; Valvatida; Acanthasteridae.